UACCUCACUGAUUACAGUGGAGUACAUUGAAGCUGUUAGUUCUACUUCCCUGGGAAACAGUGGAAUAGAUCGAAGAUUACAAUCUUAUCUCCCUAAGCAGUAGUGGAGUAGAUCGCAUUAAGUCUUAUCUCCCUAAGCAGUAGUGGAGCAGACAAAACCACAGAUCUUAUUUCCCUAAGCAAUAGUGGAACAGAUCGCAUCAAGUCUUAUCUCCCUAAGUAGUAGUGGAGCAGACUAAAAACACAAAUCUCAUCCCCAUGGAAUCGUAGCAGAGUAGAUUGAAGCUACAAGGCGUAUCUGAAGUUGAAGUAGAGUGGAUCGAAGCAACAAGACGUAGCAGGCUGGAAUAAGGCU
Molecule: long non-coding RNA, 354 nt
Filed under: Gossypium barbadense (sea-island cotton)
Lineage: Eukaryota; Viridiplantae; Streptophyta; Magnoliopsida; Malvales; Malvaceae
Description: long non-coding RNA (GBAR_LNC016103)
Source: RNAcentral